ACAAAGAUGAACCAUGAGGGAUAGAUGCCAUCUGCAAGAUAGUAGCCUAUUGUGUACUCAUGGCCAUUGACUUUCCAAGUUCACAGGUGGACCUUUGGAGGACAUUGAUGUCAUUGUGAGAGCCAGGCAACCCAAAGAAUGCAUGCCAAAUCAAUAAAUUAUGUGAUGCAACUACCUAGUGAUUUACUAAAAUGAUUCUUGGACCAUGACAAUGCCCAGUGAAUUACCCAUGCCAUGUUGCAGGAUAAUUCUUCC
RNAcentral lists this long non-coding RNA (255 nucleotides) under Setaria italica (foxtail millet). RNAcentral's name for it is "long non-coding RNA (SITA_LNC006009)". The record is from RNAcentral. Lineage: Eukaryota; Viridiplantae; Streptophyta; Magnoliopsida; Poales; Poaceae.